This 470-nucleotide ribosomal RNA is filed under the name uncultured bacterium. RNAcentral describes it as "bacterial SSU rRNA". It matches the Rfam family "Bacterial small subunit ribosomal RNA", at positions 330 to 793 of the family's 1533-position model. The record is from RNAcentral.
CUGUGACUCCUACGGGAGGCAGCAGUGGGGAAUAUUGCACAAUGGGCGCAAGCCUGAUGCAGCCAUGCCGCGUGUGUGAAGAAGGCCUUCGGGUUGUAAAGCACUUUCAGUUGUGAGGAAGGUGGUGUCGUUAAUAGCGGCAUCAUUUGACGUUAGCAACAGAAGAAGCACCGGCUAACUCCGUGCCAGCAGCCGCGGUAAUACGGAGGGUGCGAGCGUUAAUCGGAAUUACUGGGCGUAAAGCGCAUGCAGGUGGUUUGUUAAGUCAGAUGUGAAAGCCCGGGGCUCAACCUCGGAACUGCAUUUGAAACUGGCAGACUAGAGUACUGUAGAGGGGGUAGAAUUUCAGGUGUAGCGGUGAAAUGCGUAGAGAUCUGAAGGAAUACCGGUGGCGAAGGCGGCCCCCUGGACAGAUACUGACACUCAGAUGCGAAAGCGUGGGGAGCAAACAGGAUUAGAUACCCUGGUGG